GACGAACGCUGGCGGCGUGCUUAACACAUGCAAGUCGAACGGAAAGGCCCUGCUUUUGUGGGGUGCUCGAUUGGCGAAUGGGUGAGUAACACGUGAGUAACCUGCCCUUGACUUUGGGAUAACUUCAGGAAACUGGGGCUAAUACCGGAUAGGAGCUCCUGCUGCAUGGUGGGGGUUGGAAAGUUUCGGCGGUUGGGGAUGGACUCGCGGCUUAUCAGCUUGUUGGUGGGGUAGUGGCUUACCAAGGCUUUGACGGGUAGCCGGCCUGAGAGGGUGACCGGCCACAUUGGGACUGAGAUACGGCCCAGACUCCUACGGGAGGCAGCAGUGGGGAAUAUUGCACAAUGGGCGGAAGCCUGAUGCAGCAACGCCGCGUGCGGGAUGACGGCCUUCGGGUUGUAAACCGCUUUCGCCUGUGACGAAGCGUGAGUGACGGUAAUGGGUAAAGAAGCACCGGCUAACUACGUG
RNAcentral lists this ribosomal RNA (468 nucleotides) under uncultured bacterium. RNAcentral describes it as "partial 16S ribosomal RNA". It matches the Rfam family "Bacterial small subunit ribosomal RNA", at positions 28 to 507 of the family's 1533-position model. The record is from RNAcentral.